Raphanus sativus (radish) is the source of this 923-nucleotide long non-coding RNA. RefSeq lists it as uncharacterized. Lineage: Eukaryota; Viridiplantae; Streptophyta; Magnoliopsida; Brassicales; Brassicaceae. The transcript is spliced from 2 exons. The record is from RefSeq and is a predicted model, not a curated record.
AAGAUGAAGGGCAUGACGUCAUCAUCGAUGUCACUUUAGCAAACGACGUCUUCUUUUUUUUUUUGAUAAUUCACUUGUAAUUAGGGGUGUUUAAACGACGUCUUCUUCAUAGCUCUCUAUACGUGUCCCCUAAAUAAAUUGCAGGAAUUAUUUUUCAAGAGUUGUAUCUUCCUUUAGGAGUUGUAUUUUUAAUAAGUUUACAUAUUGGAGAGAUUGUAUAGGUUUUUAAACUUGUUUCAAUGUUUUCUAAUGAUUCUCUCUUCUGUUUCCUAUCUCUCUCUCUCCGAUCUCCGGUUAGUUUAAUUUUGCGGCAGCAGAUCUCAAUUUGAUCUGCAAUUUGCUGACUAUUGUUAAAAUUUCUGCUAUUACAGUAAACAUACUUUUGCUUAGAUCUCCUCUGGUAAGGCUUCUUAGUUUGAUUAGUGUCGGUAGGAUCCACAAUUCAGAACAACUCAAUCAUUCUCUGAUGAUAUAAUUUCAGAAUCAGAUUAAGGUUCAUUGUUUAAUUACUGCACCUUUAUAUAAUAGGAUGGAGUCUGUCUUUUCUGGUAUUUUAAAAUCGAUUUCUGAUACGUGAGGAGGUACGUCUUGAAGAGAACCACACUGUCACACUCUUUGAAUUUUUAUUUUGUUAAUCUUCUUCAUUUUAUGGUACACGUAUUUGUCUCUGCAGUAUGUGAUAAUGUGUCCGAUCUCUUUUUGAAUGGUUAAUAAUGUGUGGUAGGAGCAGGCCUGGGUUGGAGAUGGAAUGAAUUGCGUCUUAUUUACUGGCCGAGGAAUCCGUUUUCGCUUUCCUUUUCUUUCUUCCCAGAUUAUUUAUGGAUUGCAAUUUAUGUCAUCUCUGAUUUUGGUACUUUCUCCAGUUUUUGUGUCGAAUUCCACUCGAUUUUCAUUGUUUCAUAUUUAUUUUCCUAAUUCAGUUU